Molecule: long non-coding RNA, 2154 nt
Filed under: Gallus gallus (chicken)
Lineage: Eukaryota; Metazoa; Chordata; Aves; Galliformes; Phasianidae
Description: lncRNA (ENSGALG00010002672.1)
Source: RNAcentral
AUGUAAGGGUUGGCAGCGGAGGUGAGGGUAUCUCAUCUGGAGAUCCCUACCUACCUGGGGCUUUUCAAAGCACUUUGAGGAGCAGCAGAGGUCACUUGUAGAUGUUACUGGCCUCGUUUCUCACUGCUUCUUCCACUACCGAAGAAAACAUCGCAUCGUACCAAAUAUAAGCAAUUUCAUCGGCAUUUCCCACAGCUGUAAUAACCCUCAGCACCACUGGGUGGUAGUCGCUUUCUUCAGGUGGAGAGCAGAGCCGAGCUGGGGGACUUAGAGCCGGGGACUCCGCCAGAGGCCCUCCUCGGCGCUCCGCACCUCAUACGAACCGCAGGCUUUGUGGGAUCCGUGCUUUGCCGCAGUCUCAACUCGUUCAGAGGGCUGUGAGUCUACUACUAAGGCAAAGAGCAACGCUUUCAGUUACUCUAUCUGUGCUGAGUCUGGACAGUCCGCUCCGUGGCACCUGCAAGCAGGUGGUGUCAGUGUACGUUCAUGAGCAGAAACACUGGUUGUGUUGUGGCAGCGUUAGCAACAGCAUCUCUUUGCUUCUAAACUGGAGAAAUAUGGUAUAGAGUGACUGGAGAUAGCUAAACGUGAGAGCAAUGCGCAUCCUUCUAAGCCCUCUAAAACAUGCCAGUGAAUCUCAGUGCAGCCUGUAAGGGAAUGCCGAGUGCUGUCAGCACUAAAGUGUCACAUUAAAGUCUUAAAAGCUACAGGAGAUGUGCUGAGAUCACCUUCAGUUCUCUCACACUGCUGGAGUGCUGAGCACGUUCCGGCAGCCUGACCAUGCUGUGACUCAAGCAAGGGGCAUAUUUUUUAUGCUGCAGUUCAAGAUUGGCCCAAAAAGGUUUUUAGGCCCCCUCCGCCAGGCCUGGGGUCAGCAGCUCCCUCCCUGUGAGCUGGCAGUAGAACUGGAGCUGGGGGUGUUCCAGUACAUUGACUUCUGUGCAUCUGUGUGACUUGGCUUCUGUGCCAUCCCCCCCCUCUGCACACACUCUCUGUGAAAAGGGCUGUAAUUAACGAUGCUCCGUGCUCUGUGGAUAUCUUUAUUUAAUUAGCGUUGUUAAAAUAGAUGGCAAAAACCCAUCCCUCCUCUCCUUUCAUGCGCACAAAGGGUCCCACAGGCAGCAGAACCAGCAUCUUCCUGGGAAGCAAACUUUUAUGACAUGAGGCAGGAAUCGUGCAUUCCUCGAACACCACAGAUGGUCUCUGCAGAGCCCGUGUGUGAAUGCAGGCAGAAGCAAGAGCAUGAAUGCCAUAAAGCUGUUGCUCCUCUCGCUGAGCUAGGUCUAGUGUGCUGUUGAUUUCCUUCAGCCCCAUUGCUGGAUUACUACUGUAUUGAACAAGGAUUGUUUGUUCCCUUAUUUUUUUUUUUUCCCUCAUUACAUUCAUUUCCGAAUCAUAACGUUAGUCUGGACAAUGUAUGGAGCUGUCGUUGUCAAGGGUCCAAUUAGCCUGGCAGCAGGAGACCUAUCAUUCAAAGUAAUGAGAAAGAGGUAACUCUGGGGCACGUUUUAAGAUUUAAGUGAUCUUAAAACGUGAUCUUACACACAAACAUCUCUCACUUCUCAGCAAUGGAGGUUUCAGUACUGUAUUGUUGUCACCCAUUUGCUUGGUACUUGACUAAAGUAACUUACCUGCAAGCAUUUAACUACUGGAGCUGAAUGCUUUAUUACCUUUGUUUCAUUUACAUUAAACUGGUCUUCUCUUAGAGCCAUAUAUCACUCCCUGGUUAAAAGUACUGGUUCUGCUCCAGCACAUCGAGGCAUUCUAUUCUGUAACACAGUUGUACAAUACAAGGAAAUGAGAGGGGGGACGUCUCCAUCUGGCAGAUGAUCCUCAGAAGUGGAAAAGAAGAUGUGCAGGCUUAUGCUAUUAAACUUUUUGAGCUCAAAUGGAAUCCAGCUGUGUAGGAUCCACAGCAUUCUUGCAGUUUAACUACUCGCAGGAUGUAUAUUUUCAAUCCCUUUAUUUUUGUUUUCUUUAAUUGUUGGGGCCUGAGAUCAUAAACGCCUCAGUUUUUCAAGAAUGAAGUGCAGCUCUUGGUAAUUUGUUCUAAUCAACUGCCAUAAGAAAUGUCUGCUCCGUAACCUUGAAUGCUUUUUCUCUCCCCUAACAACAGAAUAUACUUACUGCAAAAAAUAAACAUCUGGUUUGAAU